RNAcentral lists this ribosomal RNA (253 nucleotides) under uncultured bacterium. RNAcentral describes it as "partial 16S ribosomal RNA". It matches the Rfam family "Bacterial small subunit ribosomal RNA", at positions 524 to 776 of the family's 1533-position model. The record is from RNAcentral.
UACAGAGGGUGCUAGCGUUGUUCGGAAUCAUUGGGCGUAAAGGGCGUGUAGGCGGUCCGCUAAGUCUGAUGUGAAAGCCCGAGGCUUACCCUCGGAAGUGCAUUGGAGACUGGCGGACUGGAGUCCCGGAGAGGAGGGUGGAAUUCCUGGUGUAGCGGUGAAAUGCGUAGAUAUCAGGAGGAACACCGGUGGCGAAGGCGGCCCUCUGGACGGUGACUGACGCUGAGACGCGAAAGCGUGGGGAGCAAACAGG